This is a long non-coding RNA of Cebus imitator (Panamanian white-faced capuchin), 672 nucleotides long. RefSeq lists it as uncharacterized. NCBI's taxonomy places the organism in Eukaryota, Metazoa, Chordata, Mammalia, Primates, Cebidae. The transcript has 3 exons. The record is from RefSeq and is a predicted model, not a curated record.
CUAAGAACCAGGAAAGGAAAGAUGCAGCUUCUGCCUUCAUAGACUAUAUGCCAGUAGAAGAGUCAGGAAAAAACAGACAUAGUGAUUCUGCUCUUCUGAUCAACCCUGAUUGACACAGCCACAGUUAGAGAAAAUGGAAAGAGCUCCUCUUCAUUAACUAAUUUGAGAUUAACAUUGCUUUCAAUAUUUCCAAUCUCUGGAAAACUAUCUAUGAAAUCAUACCUAAUAAACACAUCAAAGCUUUGGAGUUACUCUUACCCCAACACCUGAAUUUAUCCUGGGCAUUUGGUUGGUGAAGCCUAGUCAAGCCCGUGUAACUGCAAUUGUCUGGAAGAAUGAGUCUAACGUGUUAAAAUUGCUACACUUCAGUGUUCUGAAUGCAUCCAUGUGUUCCAUGAUAUUGCAGGAGUCACAAGAAAGUGAAUCACAAGAUUCUUAGAAAGUAGAGAAAGCACUGCCUUCUGACUUACCUAACACAUUUUUUUCAUCACCCUGUUCUGAGAUUAUAAGAUCAGGAGUAACAGAGUCACUUUACAAAGAUAUUACAGUAUUUUGGUGAGAACCUUCGAAGAUUUUAAACUUAGAAAGUUCUUUUCACUUGGAAACAACCCAAAUGUCCAUCAAUGAUAGACUGGAUAAAGACAAUGUGGCACACAUACACCAUGAAAUACU